This 926-nucleotide long non-coding RNA is filed under the name Cricetulus griseus (Chinese hamster). RNAcentral describes it as "lncRNA (ENSCGRG00000024349.1)". The record is from RNAcentral. Lineage: Eukaryota; Metazoa; Chordata; Mammalia; Rodentia; Cricetidae.
CCACGGGAGAAACCCUCUGGGGCACGGGCGCACGUUCCCUCCUUCCACAGUGCAGAGCGGUGGCCUCCAAGCGGCCAGAUAAUGUCCCACUCGACCUCCCUUCCAUCAAGCGAGUGUGUUCCUCCCCAGCAGCCAAGACAGAGGACAAACCUGUGGACUCUGAUGGAGGGCAGGCUGCCCUACACCUGGAACCCCUGCACUUCCUGCAGUGCCAUAGCAGAAACAGCAGCCCUAAGGACCUGGAGACCCAGCUGUGGGCCUGUGCCUUUGAGCCUGCCAGGGAGGAGGGACACUCGGGGGCCACAGCACAGACUGUGGCCACAUGUGGGGGGGGGUAGACUGCCAGACAGGCAUCGUUCUCCAUAAAUACAAGGUACCAGGCGAGGACUUCUUCUCGGUGGCCUGGACAGCCCUGACGGUGGUCACCCAGGCAGGACACAAGAAGCGCUGGAACAUGCUGGCAGCUGCAGGCCUCCGGGGCAUGAUCCGGCUGCUCCAUGUGCGUGCAGGCUUUUGCUGCAGCGUCAUCCGAGCCCAUAAGAAGGCCAUUGCCACCCUCUGCUUCAGCCCCACCCACGAGACCCACCUCUUCAGUAAGACCCUCACCUCUGAACUUUAUCAGCACUGUAGUCUUUCUGCCCUGCUGUCCUGGGUCUCUUUUCUGGGGUGACAAGGCUCACAGGAUGCUGGGCCCAGAUGGCUUUAGUCAGAAGUGAUUUAGCUUCUUGACCAACCAGGAUCUCCAUUCCAGCAUGCUAUGCAGCCUUGCCUUUUCCUAGAAACUUGGGCUGCUUGCUUCUACUCUGCCUGGGACCAAGGGAGAUAACCCUGCCCCUUGGGUAUGGUGAGCCCAACGAAGGAGCCAGAUGUGCUACAAAGACGGCUAUGAUGCUGUGCACACUGGGCUCAGACAGAACUGGGGAUGG